ACCAGAGACAUCCAGCCACCAGAACACACUGACCACCUAAAACAAUGGCAGACAAACCCGACAUCUCAGAAGUCACCAAAUUUGACAAAUCCAAGCUGAAGAAGACAGAGACACAGGAGAAGAAUCCCCUGCCCACAAAAGAAACCAUCGAACAGGAGAAGCAGGAGUCGUAGUGAAGCCCCUCCCUCCCGUCAUGCACUGUACACCCCUCCUCCUCCUCCCGCAUUGCCUUGUUUUCAGUCACUUCUUUUAGCCGUAUAACUUUGUAACCGAAAUUAUGAAAUGACAACAAUAACCGAGCUGCACAGCCAGUGGACGGAUGAAGCCUCUGUCCGGGCUGUCGGCUGUGCCCCCUUAACGACUCCCUUUACCAUCUACACGCCCGUCUUUCUGUGACGAUAAGGAAGACCUGUCUGAGGCGGAGGAGUGGGGGGGGUUGGGGGGGCGGCAGAAGGUGCACCCUAACACAUGGCAUCACCCACACGCAGUUCAGAGGCCUGAGGGACGGGGCGUGGUCCAAGAAGCUUCUCCUCAUCUCACCGCCAACACCCGACUUCUAGUGUGGCUGCUUCUGCGUCGUAGCUAAGGCGUCAAGCUUUUUAUUUGUCGUUUUUAUUGUCUUCUAAUUUUCGGGAAAUGCACAACUUUGUUUGUACGCUGGCCAAAAUGUAAAUGCCCCCCCAAAAAAAUUGAUACUGUCGUCCAUCACGAUGUUCUUCUUUUGUAUGUACACAAUGAAAACAAAUAAGUGUAACGGAUUCCAUCUAGAAGUGGGAGACGCUCAAAUGGACCUUAUUUACAGUUAAUGAGUGGGUCGAGAUAGCCGUUGUGUUGCAACCUGUCUCUAAUGAGGAAAAAUUUUAAAUUCUAUAUACCGGAAAUUGAUUCCAUGUGUUUGCUUUCAACCGUAGAUCAAAGUUCUUUGGAGUUCAGCAGUCAUGUUACUCUGCCACAAACCAUUACCAGAAAUGGAAAACCGUGAAAUGUUGUAAUAAAAAAAGAUUUGUUUAAAAAAA
Non-coding RNA from Labrus bergylta (ballan wrasse), 1016 nucleotides. The record is from RefSeq and is a predicted model, not a curated record. Lineage: Eukaryota; Metazoa; Chordata; Actinopteri; Labriformes; Labridae.